GUGGGGAAUAUUGCACAAUGGGCGCAAGCCUGAUGCAGCAACGCCACGUGAGGGAUGACGGCCUUCGGGUUGUAAACCUCUUUUAGUAGGGAAGAAGCGAAAGUGACGGUACCUGCAGAAAAAGCACCGGCUAACUACGUGCCAGCAGCCGCGGUAAUACGUAGGGUGCAAGCGUUGUCCGGAAUUAUUGGGCGUAAAGAGCUCGUAGGCGGCUUGUCGCGUCUGCUGUGAAAUCCCGGGGCUCAACCCCGGGCCUGCAGUGGGUACGGGCAGGCUAGAGUGCGGUAGGGGAGAUUGGAAUUCCUGGUGUAGCGGUGGAAUGCGCAGAUAUCAGGAGGAACACCGAUGGCGAAGGCAGAUCUCUGGGCCGCUACUGACGCUGAGGAGCGAAAGCAUGGGGAGCGAACAGGAUUAGAAACCCGGGUAGUCC
RNAcentral lists this ribosomal RNA (430 nucleotides) under uncultured bacterium. RNAcentral describes it as "partial 16S ribosomal RNA". It matches the Rfam family "Bacterial small subunit ribosomal RNA", at positions 354 to 796 of the family's 1533-position model. The record is from RNAcentral.